Xenopus tropicalis (tropical clawed frog) is the source of this 517-nucleotide long non-coding RNA. RefSeq lists it as uncharacterized. The record is from RefSeq and is a predicted model, not a curated record. The transcript is spliced from 3 exons. NCBI's taxonomy places the organism in Eukaryota, Metazoa, Chordata, Amphibia, Anura, Pipidae.
UUAACCAUUAAAUAAACCCAAUAGGGCUGUUUUGCCCCCAAUAAGGGUAAUUAUAUCUUAGUUGGGAUAUGGGAGGUAAGUCCCCCAUCCAAGAGACAGAAGAGGUAAGCCCCCCAUCCAAGAGACAGAAGAGGUAAGCCCCCCAUCCAAGAGACAGAAGAGGUAAGUCCCCCAUCCAAGAGACAGAAGAGGUAAGUCCCCCAUCCAAGAGACAGAAGAGGUAAGUCCCCCAUCCAAGAGACAGAAGAGGUAAGCCCCCCAUCCAAGAGACAGAAGAGGUAAGUCCCCCAUCCAAGAGACAGAAGAGUUAAGUCCCCCAUCCAAGAGACAGAAGAGGUAAGUCCCCCAUCCAAGAGACAGAAGAGGUAAGUCCCCCAUCCAAGAGACAGAAGAGGUAAGUCCCCUAUCCAACAGAGGGAAGAGGUAUCUCACAGUAACCAGACACCUAUGUUUCUAAUUAAUACUAACUGCUGAUUGGACAAUACGUUACCAAAUAAAACUGAUUUAUGUUACUGAA